RNAcentral lists this ribosomal RNA (387 nucleotides) under uncultured bacterium. Its description in RNAcentral is "bacterial SSU rRNA". It matches the Rfam family "Bacterial small subunit ribosomal RNA", at positions 774 to 1159 of the family's 1533-position model. The record is from RNAcentral.
AGUAAAUAGAUACCCAGGUAGUCCACGCCGUAAACGAUGAGCACUAGUUAUUGGGGGUAUUGACUCCCUCAGUGACGCAGCUAACGCAUUAAGUGCUCCGCCUGGGGAGUACGGUCGCAAGACUAAACUCAAACAAAUUGACGGGGGCCCGCACAAGCGGUGGAUUAUGUGGUUUAAUUCGAAGCAACGCGCAGAACCUUACCUAGGCUUGAACUCCUACGAACCUCUUGUAAUGGAGAGGGUGUCCGCAAGGAAAUGUAGUGAGAGGUGCUGCAUGGCUGUCGUCAGCUCGUGUUGUGAAAUGUUGGGUUAAGUCUCGCAACGAGCGCAACCCCUAUCGUCUGUUGCCAGCAUUAAGUUGGGCACUCUGACGAGACUGCCUGGGUU